This 49-nucleotide ribosomal RNA is filed under the name Peltigera neckeri. Its description in RNAcentral is "partial 18S ribosomal RNA". It matches the Rfam family "Eukaryotic small subunit ribosomal RNA", at positions 1782 to 1831 of the family's 1831-position model. Lineage: Eukaryota; Fungi; Ascomycota; Lecanoromycetes; Peltigerales; Peltigeraceae. The record is from RNAcentral.
AAGUAAGUCGUACAAGGUUUCCGUAGGUGAACCUGCGGAAGGAUCAUUA